AUGGCUAUCAUUCUUGCAGUGGAGCAGUGGCGUUCAUACUUACAACACGCAGAGUUUUUAAUCCUCACAGAUCACAGCAGCCUAGCUCAUUUGAAUGACCAACGUUUGCAUAAGCCCUGGCAGCAAAAAGUGUUCACCAAGUUAUUGGGUCUUCAGUUCAAAAUUCAGUAUAAAAAAGGGACAGAAAAUCGAGUUGCAGAUGCUCUGCCGCGCAGACCUUCGCAGGAUGAGCACCUACUAGCUAUUUCCCACCACCAACCAGCUUGGCUUCAGGAGGUGUUGGAUUUAUAUCAAGACAAUACAUCAGCUCAAGAGUUGCUCACUAAACUGGCUGUGCAAAAAGCUGUGGAUGAUAAUUACUCUUUGAGAGAUGGUCUUAUCUGUUACAAAGGGCGUUUGUGGAUUCCAGAAAAUGCUGAACUUAUACUCAAACUGUUGGAUGCA
RNAcentral lists this ribosomal RNA (444 nucleotides) under Triticum aestivum (bread wheat). Its description in RNAcentral is "partial small subunit ribosomal RNA". Lineage: Eukaryota; Viridiplantae; Streptophyta; Magnoliopsida; Poales; Poaceae. The record is from RNAcentral.